Molecule: long non-coding RNA, 206 nt
Filed under: Elaeis guineensis (African oil palm)
Lineage: Eukaryota; Viridiplantae; Streptophyta; Magnoliopsida; Arecales; Arecaceae
Description: long non-coding RNA (EGUI_LNC061727)
Source: RNAcentral
GAUUCUACACGGCUCCACUACUCUCUGGCAAGUCGCGACAACGGCCACCACUCCACUCUCUAUAACCAACUCCACGUGGCCCUGAACGACCCCUGAUGCCACUACUCUCCGUAACAAACUCUAGGCGGUUCUGAGCAGCCCACUACCAGGCGGUUACAGACAUCGCUGUCAAUCGGUUACACUCUCUGUCUAUAAAUAAGGACCCC